Molecule: non-coding RNA, 3895 nt
Organism: Petromyzon marinus (sea lamprey)
Lineage: Eukaryota; Metazoa; Chordata; Hyperoartia; Petromyzontiformes; Petromyzontidae
Source: RefSeq, a predicted model, not a curated record
UGAGGUAAAGUGUGGGUACUCCUCACCUCUCCACCAAGACGUCUCACUGGCGCAGAAAAGUAAGCCAACAUACCCAUCAGGAGGGGCUCUCAAAUGGAGGGGGCAGACGCUUCCACCAGCAGUGGCGUGGGUGAGCAAAUUGCAUGGCUGUACUGUUACCCAAUUUAAUAUCUAGGUAAGAUUAAAAAUGACCCGCAGAUGUGUUUGUCUUUUGUAGGUGGUGGUGGUAAUGGUGGUGGUGGCGGCGAUAUAGAGCCCUGGGUCAUAGCUGUCGCUGUCAUUGUGCCACUUUUGGUUUUGGCUGCAGUGGCUGGAUCCGUUUUCUUCUUCUGCUUGAAGAAGAAGGGGAUUCAAGCAACGUGAGUUCCCAAUGAUUGAUUUAGAUCAAGGUGAUGAGUGUGUUCCUGCUCAUGGACAAGAGGGGUUGGUUGGACCAGUGUUGCCAAUUCCUUGAAGCAGAAUGUAGCAAAAAAUACAGGAUGGUCGCCAGAGCAGUGUUGCCACCUAUUUAUUGUAUUUUACCAGGUAAGGCCCAAUGAGCUAUAUAGUUGUUUUUCAGAAGCAACCUGGCUAUCACAAAUAAAGUGGCAUGUUACGUGGACAGCAGCUAAAUAUGCUAAACGCGUGAUGUUGAUUCUAAAAAAAGAGGGGAAAAAACAGAGGUCCCAGAAAAAAUGCACGUGACCACUGGGAGAGAGACACCGCAAACUUCAAAUAUACAGCAGGAUUCAGGGUCGGGAUUGAAUCCACGACCUCCUGGUAUUCAGGUCAAAAAGGUUCCUAAAGUAAACAAAAACAAACGGAGACUUUUCAUGGGAAGAAGAGUUUACAAUAUCAGAAAAUACAUCAAUGUUGACCUCUACAGCCAUUGCUGCACAGCCAUCAAUGGUGCUAUGGGCGGCAAUGUGUCCCAGCGGGUAGCGCAUUCGCCCCCUGCUGUUGCAGAGGUUCCACGGUUCGAAUCCAGCAGCGGCCAUUUUUUACAUACCGAGGCAGGUGUAGGUGUAUUAACCGUGACGAAACCGUGUGCCGCCAAGAUUCACCGUGGACAGCACGGCUCGGGAUUUUGUUGUUAUCAAUGUCUAACGUUUGUCUGCAGGAGCACGAGACGACAUGGCAGAGACGCUUCAGAAAGUUCCACACACCGACCGUCUCAGCAGCAGCAGCAACAUCAGCAGCAGGACGACCAUCAUCAGUACGAAUACAUCGACGGGAAAUUCCCAUCCCACAAUCUGGAGUCACAACAGCCACCCCCUGGCAGUGCCGAAUUCUACAAUGCGCAUGCAAAAACCACUUCCAACUGGAACAACCACAGAGAACAUCUGUAUGAGAACAACCUGAAUUCUACUGAAUCGAACCCACAAAACCAAGAGGGCGUUCACUACCAGCCUUUGAAGCCGUCCACAGAGAAAACUUAUGAUAAAUUACACCAUCCCACAUACGAGAAUGUAUGAGACUGAGCACUUUCAGCACAUUGCACUAAAACAACACGGUUAAAACCAAUGUACACGAGUUAAUUAGGAGUUUAAUUUAUUCGAGAAUUGUGACGUGCCCACGUAAUAAGCACUUUGGAGGUGGAGUUGGUGCAUACAAUAGGAUCAUGUUCGGUGAUGGUUCUAUCUUUAAGUCGUCCAAAGUGAGGUACGGGGGAAGGACAAUAAAAUAAAAACACGAAAAGCAGUUCUAAAGAAAUGCGUUUUAAAUCUAGGCUUAUACGUGUGGACUUUGGGCAUGGAUCUCCUUGUAUACGCGGUGGGUUUAUUCUGGCUCUCCAAUUUAUUGCCCAUAUCAUGAAAAUAAAAUGUACUCAAAUUUGCUAAACAUCUCAAGCAGAACUAUGCGAGCAUCACUUGUAAGCAGUUUGAGAUGCAGGUAGACCAGCACAGCGCGAGUUACAGCUUUAAUGACUCUCGGACAACACGAACUGUAGAGGGUUACUUUAUUUCGCUUCACGCGGAUUACUUGGUCAGGGAUGACACGCAAGUGGCGACGAGGCGAAGACAGCAUAGACGCGACGAAAGCGACGAAAGUGAUGACGCAAAGACAGCGACGAUGCGAAGACAGCGACGGCGUGAAGACAGUCGACCCCGAUCCCACGGCAGCCCCGAACCUCGCCUAUCUCCCCUUUUUAUCCAAGGCGUGGCCCUCACUCCGCCCUCGGCCACAAUCCCAUUCUCGACCUCUCUAGAUCUUCCCAGAUGGUUCCCUUCUUCUCAUAACUCCCCUAUGUUAAUAUUCACCCCUGUAAUUACUCCCCGUAACACACAUACACACACAGACAUGUAAUUAUCGGUGAUCAGCUGUAUUUGAGUCUGUAUUGAAAACUCACUUCUUCAAACUGGCCUCCAUGCCUAAUUUUGUUUUUAUUUCCUCCUUUUCAUACAUAGCCAAAUUGGGAUAUGUAUACAGAUUAAAUGCAUCUUGUAAAUGUAAAUAUUUAUCAUUAUUUUUAACUGAACAAUACAUGACAUAGGUCCUGGGCUUGGCCAGUUCCGAGUCGAGUGGCGAGUGAUGGAGGACGGUGCAGGGUUGGAUUGUAGAUCCCCGAUAUUCGGCUUUUUAAAUAAAAAUAAAACAUUUGUAUCGGCAUCUAUGCCACUGAUGUGCUCCGGAUGUUUUAUUCAUAUGUAAUGACCGAGAUAACAGACCACUUUCCUGACACAAGCGUACGGUCAGACAAACAAUCAGAAAGUAGUCCAAGGCCUCCCAUUGGUGCUUAGACGCCUUCACAGUGAUUGGUCGGGAGGAAAAAUUGAAAGGGAUUGGAGGAAAGAUUUGAUAGGUCAAAAGGCGGGAAGCAAGGGUAGACUGCAGAAGAACAGUUGAGAACCUUUGGUGGGGAAGGGUCAGGAUUGGCCGAAGGGAGUGGGGUGGUUGAAGCUUCCAGAGAGGGGGGCUUGGGAGGUAUAAAAUGAGACAGCACAAGGAGAGGGAACGUUGGAAAGAACACGGAGCUUGUCUCAUGAACCAAGCCUGGCCAUCGUUCGUGCUGUGUCUGAAUAAAAGGCUCUUAAGAAGUCACCACGUGUGUUGGCGUCACUACACAGGUCCAAUGAACCAACAAAACAAUUUAUUCGUGUUUCUUGAAAAUGUUAUGCUUGCCAGUUGGUAUAGCUUUUUCACCAUCCACUCCCUCGUGUGCCACAGUGCCGGCUUUCAUAGCUGCGAGCGAAGAGCACUUGCACCAACAGUCUGUUAGGCUAUGCGGGGGAUCUUUGUAUUGCUAUUUGCUAAAGGGUCCGGUAGAGGGAGCUCUGAUCCUAUUAGCGUGAGGUUGAGAGCAGCUGAGGUGUGUGCACUUCAGUCGCCAGCACGUUUGGGGUCGUACAACGCUAGCCGUGUCCCAUCAAUACCUCACCAACUCUUCUCCACAGCAUCAGUCUCUGGACGUAGCCUAUUCAAUGUUUUCUACAACAACAGUAUUAAUGUGCAUUUCGCAAUGCAUCAAUCGUUUACCUUGAAAAUGUAGAGAAGCCGUGAUUUAUCUACGGGACCUUUUUAGCCAGAAUAAAAAAUGAUGAAAAAUAAGAAUAGGUUUUACCCUUUCUGGAAAAAAAACAGGAGGUGUUAACAUGUUCAAACACCAAAUAUAUAUAAAUUUUGCAAGAAAGAAGUCUGCAUUAAUCACUCGAGCUAUAAGUGUUCUGAUACUUGUGUAGAGGAUGUUCGGGACAUCCUCACACACAAACAUCACACAACCACGGGUUACGGGUCACGGGAGGGCUGCCGUGGUCGACACGCAAUCCAAUAAUUGAGUGGAGGAAGUCUGAUCGGAUUGGCCCCGGAAGGGUUAGCAGUGGGGAAAACUCGAGAAGGAUUGGCAAGGGGGGGAAAACCCUGGGAGGGUUAACAAGGGCGACAAGCCCAAGAAGGGAAUGAGUGUUAAAAAAAGGGG